This 460-nucleotide ribosomal RNA is filed under the name uncultured bacterium. RNAcentral describes it as "partial 16S ribosomal RNA". It matches the Rfam family "Bacterial small subunit ribosomal RNA", at positions 338 to 795 of the family's 1533-position model. The record is from RNAcentral.
CCUACGGGUGUCAGCAGUGAGGAAUAUUGGUCAAUGGGCGCGAGCCUGAACCAGCCAAGUAGCGUGAAGGAUGACUGCCCUACGGGUUGUAAACUUCUUUUAUAAAGGAAUAAAGGGAGGCACGUGUGCCUUUCUGUAUGUACUUUAUGAAUAAGGAUCGGCUAACUCCGUGCCAGCAGCCGCGGUAAUACGGAGGAUCCGAGCGUUAUCCGGAUUUAUUGGGUUUAAAGGGAGCGUAGGUGGUUUGUUAAGUUAGUUGUGAAAUUUUGAGGCUCAACCGUGGAAUUGCAGUUGAAACUGGCAGGCUAGAGAACAGUAGAGGUGGGCGGAAUUCAUGGUGUAGCGGUGAAAUGCUUAGAUAUCACGAAGAACACCGAUUGCGAAGGCAGCUCACCGGACUACAACUGACACUGAGGCACGAAAGUGUGGGGAGCAAACAGGAUUAGAUACCCUUGUAGUC